AUGGUGAAGGAGAGGGCGGCGGCUUUGGAGCGGGCGAAGAAGGCGACGACGAAGGCGAAGGGAAGAGCGCCCAGUCGGGGCGGAUCCUCGUCGCGGUCCGGCCUGCCGCAAGGCUGGAUCCAGCGAGAUUGGAUCCGCUCGACCAUCACGCAGAAGGAUCUCGACGACCUGACCAACGAGGGACUGAUCCCCCAUGGGUCAGCGAGGCUUCCGGGGAAGGAGUGGCAGCCGCAACCUCAGGAGGGUGAGUGCGUCCUCCUAGCCACCCAUGUAGAUCGCGGUUUCUCUCUGCCACUGAACCUUUUCUUCCGGGGGUUUCUAAACUUUUUUGGUGCACAACUCCACCACUUCACGCCCAACUCCAUUGCCUACCUUGCUGCUUUCAUAUCUUUGUGUGAAAACUUCCUGGGUUGCCGGCCGCACUGGGGCCUCUUCAAACACAUUUUCACCUGCCGCUCCCAGACGGUGAAAAAGGCUAGCCCGAAUGACGAGAGAACCCAAGUUAUUCAGAUGUGCGGGGGCCUCGGGGUUCAGAUGAGGAGCAAGAGUGCCUUUCCAGCCAUGACCCUUCCC
RNAcentral lists this ribosomal RNA (573 nucleotides) under Triticum aestivum (bread wheat). RNAcentral's name for it is "partial small subunit ribosomal RNA". Lineage: Eukaryota; Viridiplantae; Streptophyta; Magnoliopsida; Poales; Poaceae. The record is from RNAcentral.